AUUCAGCUGACAAGUCCCAAAUAGGACGAAAUGUGCAACCUGGAU
Trichobilharzia regenti is the source of this 45-nucleotide non-coding RNA. The record is from Rfam. NCBI's taxonomy places the organism in Eukaryota, Metazoa, Platyhelminthes, Trematoda, Strigeidida, Schistosomatidae.